AGCAAAUGAAAUUUUGUCAUAAUGAGCAGUAUACUUAUCAGUAUACAAUGGUUUCCCAAUAGUACUUGCCAACUUACUCAGCACCUCUGUGGACCAAUACCCCCAGGCAGACCUGGAAAUCGAAUCCAAAUAGGUAUAGUGCUCAGCACACUAGCCUGAAAAUUGAAAUCAAUUUCCCAAGGUCUUAGAACCAUUGGCUUGCUUCUAAAUGUAUAUGGACCAGAUUGCAUGACUGUAUCCCUGUCUUCAGCAUUAUUGAAUCGAAAAAUACAAUAACCUUCAGCAUGCAUAAGGAUUUGAGGCUUAGUAACAAAAUUCCAAAU
Molecule: long non-coding RNA, 323 nt
Filed under: Nicotiana benthamiana
Lineage: Eukaryota; Viridiplantae; Streptophyta; Magnoliopsida; Solanales; Solanaceae
Description: long non-coding RNA (NBEN_LNC015009)
Source: RNAcentral